Molecule: ribosomal RNA, 492 nt
Filed under: uncultured bacterium
Lineage: Bacteria
Description: partial 16S ribosomal RNA
Rfam family: Bacterial small subunit ribosomal RNA
Source: RNAcentral
AGUGAACGCUGGCGGUAGGCCUAACACAUGCAAGUCGAACGGCAGCACAGUGAGAGCUUGCUCUUACGGGUGGCGAGUGGCGGACGGGUGAGGAAUACAUCGGAAUCUACUUUUUCGUGGGGGAUAACGUAGGGAAACUUACGCUAAUACCGCAUACGACCUACGGGUGAAAGCAGGGGAUCUUCGGACCUUGCGCGAUUGAAUGAGCCGAUGUCGGAUUAGCUAGUUGGCGGGGUAAAGGCCCACCAAGGCGACGAUCCGUAGCUGGUCUGAGAGGAUGAUAAGCCACACUGGAACUGAGACACGGUCCAGACUCCUACGGGAGGCAGCAGUGGGGAAUAUUGGACAAUGGGCGCAAGCCUGAUCCAGCCAUACCGCGUGGGUGAAGAAGGCCUUCGGGUUGUAAAGCCCUUUUGUUGGGAAAGAAAAGCAGCAGGUUAAUACCCCGCUGUUCUGACGGUACCCAAAGAAUAAGCACCGGCUAACUUCGUG